RNAcentral lists this ribosomal RNA (497 nucleotides) under uncultured bacterium. RNAcentral describes it as "partial 16S ribosomal RNA". It matches the Rfam family "Bacterial small subunit ribosomal RNA", at positions 28 to 507 of the family's 1533-position model. The record is from RNAcentral.
GAUGAACGCUGGCGGCGUGCCUAAUACAUGCAAGUCGAGCGAACAGACGAGGAGCUUGCUCCUCUGACGUUAGCGGCGGACGGGUGAGUAACACGUGGAUAACCUACCUAUAAGACGGGGAUAACUUCGGGAAACCGGAGCUAAUACCGGAUAAUAUAUUGAACGGCAUGGUUCAAUAGUGAAAGACGGUUUUGCUGUCACUUAUAGAUGGAUCCGCGCCGUAUUAGCGAGUUGGUAAGGUAACGGCUUACCAAGGCAACGAUGCGUAGCCGACCUGAGAGGAUGAUCGGCCACCCUGGAACUGAGACACGGUCCAGACUCCUACGGGAGGCAGCAGUGGGGAAUUUUGGACAAUGGGCGAAAGCCUGACCCAGCCACCCCGCGUGGGUGAAGAAGGCCUUCGGGUCGUAAAGCCCUUUUAUUGGGAAAGAACAAAAGUAGGUUAAUCCCUCGCCGUUCUGACGGUACCUAAAGAAUAAGCACCGGCUAACUUCGUG